Molecule: ribosomal RNA, 397 nt
Filed under: uncultured bacterium
Lineage: Bacteria
Description: partial 16S ribosomal RNA
Rfam family: Bacterial small subunit ribosomal RNA
Source: RNAcentral
AUACGUAGGUGGCAAGCGUUGUCCGGAAUGAUUGGGCGUAAAGGGCGCGUAGGCGGCCUGUUAAGUCUGGAGUGAAAGUCCUGUUUUCAAGAUGGGAAUUGCUUUGGAUACUGAUGGGCUUGAGUGCAGGAGAGGUUAUCGGAAUUCCCGGUGUAGCGGUGAAAUGCGUAGAGAUCGGGAGGAACACCAGUGGCGAAGGCGGGUAACUGGACUGCAACUGACGCUGAGGCGCGAAAGUGUGGGGAGCAAACAGGAUUAGAUACCCUGGUAGUCCACACCGUAAACGAUGAAUGCUAGGUGUAAGAGGUAUCGACCCCUUUUGUGCCGGAGUUAACACAAUAAGCAUUCCGCCUGGGGAGUACGGCCGCAAGGUUGAAACUCAAAUGAAUUGACGGGG